UACGUAGGGGGCUAGCGUUGUCCGGAUUUAUUGGGCGUAAAGAGCGUGUAGGCGGCCAGGUAGGUCUGCUGUGAAAACUCGAGGCUCAACCUCGAGACGUCGGCGGAAACCAUCUGGCUAGAGUCCGGAAGAGGAGAGUGGAAUUCCUGGUGUAGCGGUGAAAUGCGCAGAUAUCAGGAGGAACACCAGUGGCGAAGGCGGUGCUCUGGGCCGGAACUGACGCUGAGGAGCGAAGGCCAGGGGAGCAAACGGG
RNAcentral lists this ribosomal RNA (253 nucleotides) under uncultured bacterium. Its description in RNAcentral is "partial 16S ribosomal RNA". It matches the Rfam family "Bacterial small subunit ribosomal RNA", at positions 524 to 776 of the family's 1533-position model. The record is from RNAcentral.